Molecule: long non-coding RNA, 2227 nt
Organism: Macrobrachium nipponense
Lineage: Eukaryota; Metazoa; Arthropoda; Malacostraca; Decapoda; Palaemonidae
Exons: 3
Source: RefSeq, a predicted model, not a curated record
UGGAUGGCAUUGGCUCUGAAGAUUUGCUCGUUUGAACCAGAAAUCAGUCGGCUGGAAGUAGUUUCCACGAAUCAGUGCUACAUGUUUGAGACGAUGAUAAUGUUGACAAAGUGCGUGUUACUGAGUGCUGCAAAUUAAUUUCGAGCCUUCGAAGACUGGUAGAAUCAGCCGAUAGGCCGGUGAGAAGCAGUCAUCCCAAGUACCGCCUUGUACCGGGAGUUAGGAGAAGAGGGGUACCGGGAAACUGCCGAAGAGAAGAGACUAGAGAGAAAGGUUCCGACGCACAAGCCAGGUGUUAAACCCCAGGUCUGCUUAGGACCCAAAUUCAGCUUGUGAAAAUGAAGGCUGAAACAAAUCCGACCGUUACUACCAGGCAGCUCAUGGAGAAAAAUCCUGAUCUUAUCUGCGGCAAAGAGCUGCUGGGUUUAACAGAAACCCAGAAAAAGAAAGGGCAUUCUUAUGUUGAUGUUCAUCACGAAUGGGGUUUAAAUGAGUUGAAAAAUGCUCAAGUGUUGCAACCAUUAAAUUUAAGGCUGACGGAUGAUGAUGAAAAAGUUUCAUUUCCUUUGGUGAACGGUUGAUUCGAAAAAAAUUAAUGGAACCGGUCCCAAAGCGUAUUAGAUUCUACAUGAAGUGUCAUGCAGGACAUAAGAAGUGUCAGUGCAUUAUUAGGAGCCUUCAACUGAUUAUCUGCAAACAUGUUUGUCAUAGCAGCUAACACAAAAUAGUUUGGCGGUCGGCAGCAAAUAAAAAAUUUUGGACUGGCCAGAUCUGGCCUCCCAUGGAAAUUUGGUAACAUGCGAAGAAGAUGGACCUGAAAUCUCCAGUCUUGUGAUAAUGAAGUUGCAGAUUGGAAGGAAAUUCGGUAAAGACUCACGUUUUCCAAAUUUUUUGGGAUCAAAGAGAGCGAACUCUUCCAUACGUAACCUCGCCGCCGUCAAAGCAUUACGAACGUCUAGACGUCUAGGCUAUAAGAUACAACGUACAAUAUCGCGAUAGUGUUCAGUUGCCUGCCUUAUUCUUAUACUCAUACAUGUGUACAAAAAUUCAUACACACAUACACAGGCGCGCGUGCACACACACAUGUAUGUAUGGAUAUAUAUCUACAUAUAUAAUUAUAUUUAGGUUUAUUUACGAAUAUUUGGAAAGCAAAGUGUUCUACUCAAUGGACGUAUCAUAUGCAGUUUGGAGUCGCAAUCCAGAAAUGCUCUCGACUAUCAUACGUAUUUUAAUAUGUGACAAAUAUUUAAACAUUUCAAAACCCGGAAAGAGGAGUGAAUAAUUUUCAAAUAUGAUUUAUUCGUGUGGUACUGAUUUAUCUUUAUUUCAACAAAUAGUUUUGUAACAAAAAUGAGGCAGUGAAAUGGAUAAUGUUAGGCUUGGGGUUAUGUCACUGACUAAAUAAGAUGAGAGAAAAAAAGAUUGGAAUUUAUAAAAAGAAAAUAAAAUAAAAUAACUAGGAGUCUGGUGUGACGAAUAUGUUUCUGUUUGAAAAUCCCUAUUACGUACUUAAAUCAAGUACUACCGCAAAUAUAUACGGAAAAUGACUAUGAUAACUGAUGUUUAUGCAUCAGAGUUCGUGGGUGAGAAAAUGUCCAUUCAGAGCAUCGAUGGCUAAAGUGUGCCUCCAAAUUGGUGGACUGCCGAAGGCUCUCUCUUUCUCUCUCUCUCCCCGUCGCGCCUCAGUGAGAGAAGCCAUCUUUUAUCAUGCAUUAUUUUUGCAUUUACUCACUUUCGGUAAAAGCCUCUUUGAUCGAACCAGGACUCAGCAAAUGUCGAGGCGUGCAUUUUCAUUUAUGGCAUUCAGUUUGUGAAUGGUAUCGUACGGAAGUAAUUUAACAUUCUAACUAUUCUGAAAAACAAAAAUAAUGCAUGCAGCGCAAUGAAAUACUAAUUUUAGUGCGUACCUUUGACCGUUUAACAAAGGCUAAGAAAUAUUACAAAAAUCAUUAUUCAACUUACGAUUAUUAUAAGUGUGUUCAACUUAGCUCAACAUGGCGCUACUCUCACCAGUCCCUGUCUCUUAGUGUACUAAUAGAAUCCCAAAUGUUUAGACGUAGCACGAAGAGGAUGAAAAGAACAUUACACUUUUACCACACUACAACAGCUUCUAGCAUCAUCGUAUCUGUUGAGAUAAUAACAUAAAAUUUCCCUAACUGAACUUUUAACCCAAGCGUUCGUUGAACGAAGGUCAUGACCUUAAAUCAGCUCUAAGGACUGCAAUAGA